RNAcentral lists this transfer RNA (72 nucleotides) under Crassvirales sp. RNAcentral's name for it is "tRNA-Met". It matches the Rfam family "tRNA". Rfam says of the family: Transfer RNA (tRNA) molecules are approximately 80 nucleotides in length. Their secondary structure includes four short double-helical elements and three loops (D, anti-codon, and T loops). Further hydrogen bonds mediate the characteristic L-shaped molecular structure. tRNAs have two regions of fundamental functional importance: the anti-codon, which is responsible for specific mRNA codon recognition, and the 3' end, to which the tRNAs corresponding amino acid is attached (by aminoacyl-tRNA synthetases). tRNAs cope with the degeneracy of the genetic code in two manners: having more than one tRNA (with a specific anti-codon) for a particular amino acid; and 'wobble' base-pairing, i.e. permitting non-standard base-pairing at the 3rd anti-codon position. The record is from RNAcentral. Lineage: Duplodnaviria; Heunggongvirae; Uroviricota; Caudoviricetes; Crassvirales.
CGUGGGUUGUAGCAGUGAUAGCUUACUUGGCUCAUAACCAAGUGGUCGUUGGUUUGAAUCCAACACCCACAA